UACGAAGGGGGCUAGCGUUGUUCGGAUUUACUGGGCGUAAAGCGCACGUAGGCGGAUUGUUAAGUCAGGGGUGAAAUCCUGGAGCUCAACUCCAGAAUUGCCUUUGAUACUGGCUUUCUAGAGGCUGGAAGAGGUUAGUGGAAUUCCCAGUGUAGAGGUGAAAUUCGUAGAUAUUGGGAAGAACACCAGUGGCGAAGGCGGCUAACUGGUCCAGAUCUGACGCUGAGGUGCGAAAGCGUGGGGAGCAAACAGG
Molecule: ribosomal RNA, 253 nt
Filed under: uncultured bacterium
Lineage: Bacteria
Also listed under: 1 other name
Description: partial 16S ribosomal RNA
Rfam family: Bacterial small subunit ribosomal RNA
Source: RNAcentral